UCUAACUGAUAUUCCGAGAAGUGGAAUGACGGGGUAACGCCCCAUACGCACCAGCUUUAUAAAAA
Non-coding RNA from Eubacterium plexicaudatum ASF492, 65 nucleotides. The record is from Rfam. Lineage: Bacteria; Bacillati; Bacillota; Clostridia; Eubacteriales; Eubacteriaceae.